CCCCACUAAUCAUGACUUGGCUGAUAUAGAUAGUUUCAUGUAACGUCUGUAAAAACCUCACCUCUUUCCCUGAACAUUUUUAUUAUUGUCAGCUAGCAAGUGCCUGAAAACUCUCAGUUCUCCUUUGCGAUGGGAAGCAAAACUUCUCCAAACCUAGAGCCUUCAAACAUUUGAAGAUGUCUGGUAGAAAAGAGUUAAUUGUUAGAGCCAGAAAGAUAACUGAAGCUCAUCAAGCAGUCAGAUCCAGAUGCUUCCUAUACAAGGAGGAAAAAGGGGCUAGUGAGUAGUGAAGGGAAGAAGAUGCCUUUAUCUCAGGAGAUGCAGCUGUCAUGUAAACACAGAGUGUGUAAUGCCAUCUGCUUAAUGCCUGAAGUUGCAUUUGUAUCAGAGAAUGGAAGAACCUUAAUUUGAGGACUGUGUUUGCUCUCUAAAGAAAAAGUAAAGAAGGGGGAGCAGCCCUCAUUCUCAUAAUCUGUGCUGCAUGUUGCACCAUUUAAUUUUUAAGCUCCAAAGGAAGGAAAAAAAAAUAGAGAUAUGGAUUCUUGGUAAGAUAUGGUGACAAAGGAGAGCAGUGUAGUAAAGACGAAGAACAACCCAGGGGGAAAAAAGUAGAAGCAAUUCUCUGUGCUCCCCUGUGGUUUGUGAAGCUGCUUGAAAAGCCUCCAGAAAAAGUCAGGGUGCCCAAAUGGCGGUUAAACUUGAAAAGUGAAAGACAGUGUUGUGGGCUCUGAUUGACGCAAGACCUGGAUUUGAAUACAGAGUACCUAUGCACUCUUGCUAAAAGUUAGUAAGUUAGUUCCAGCCAGGUUCCAGCCUGCAUACAGGAAUAUUGCUAGCCACAAGCCUUUUUUUUUUUUUUUUUUUUUUUUUUCCAUUUGCUGGAAGGAAAAAUGAACCAUUUCCUUGAGAGACAUCUCCAUCUUCAUCUACAUCUUAAAAUGCACAUAAUUUUCCAUUCUACCAUCUAUUCAACUACACAGCAAGCUCCUCGAGGUUCUUAUUUACACCUUCUAAUGGGGUCCUAAUCCUAUUUGAAAAUCAGGUGGUUGUGAUGUCAGCCAGGGAAAUGAGUUAACGGUAAGUGACUUUGGCC
This 1093-nucleotide long non-coding RNA is filed under the name Anser brachyrhynchus (Pink-footed goose). RNAcentral's name for it is "lncRNA (ENSABRG00000020252.1)". Lineage: Eukaryota; Metazoa; Chordata; Aves; Anseriformes; Anatidae. The record is from RNAcentral.